RNAcentral lists this long non-coding RNA (1234 nucleotides) under Ficedula albicollis (Collared flycatcher). Its description in RNAcentral is "lncRNA (ENSFALG00000024893.1)". The record is from RNAcentral. Lineage: Eukaryota; Metazoa; Chordata; Aves; Passeriformes; Muscicapidae.
GGGGGGGGGGGGGGGGGGGGGGGGGGGGGGGGGGGGGGGGGGGGGGGGGGGGGGGGGGGGGGGGGGGGGGGGGGGGGGGGGGGGGGGGGGGGGGGGGGGGGGGGGGGGGGGGGGUAAAAAACAAGUGCAGAUUUAGAUUCUAAGGACUAAGUUAUAAAAAGCCCCUAAGAAUGACCUCCAGUAUUUUGGAAGAAAGCCCAAAAGAUGAGUUUCACCAAGGGAGAAGGGGAAGAAUAUGUCGAGAGAAUACAGCUUUUACUCUGAAAUGGCUUCAAGAAUGCUUUUAAGGAAAACUGGAUGAUGAUACUGUUAAUGGAUCAACUGCGAAAUACUCAUGUUAACCUUUACAUUGUCCCCUACUAGCUUCAGCAUCAUCAUUAACUGAAGUGUGACCCACGUCCCUCAGGAUAAAUUGUUCCAUUUAAGAGGCCACAUGAAGAGCAUUACCUGCACAAGCAGGGAAGAGCGCUGUGCAGUUUGGCAGGUGCCUCUUAAGGAGAAGAGCUGGAGCAGGUGACACAAAUAAGGGGAAGAUAACGAGGGCCACAACUGCAUUAGACUGCACUGCCCAGUUAAUUGCUCUUACUCCCAUUUACCCCUUGGAAUACCCAUGUGGAUAAGGGAUAUACAGAGGUGCUGAAAAGGUGAGAGAGAGCUGUAGACAGCUGAGCUGUCUGUCUGUUUGCCAUAGGAAAAAAGAGACUGUGGAUGUGCAUUUAAAUUAAUCUAUUGGCUGGUCUUCUCUACUUUAUUUUUUUUUUUGCUACUGUUAAUUUUCCUUGUGAAAUGUCUUUUCAUGGCCUGACUUUUUAAAGGAAGAAUCUCAAAAUUUGAUGCCAUUUAGAGCUGUCCUGACUAUUGUGGAUUCAGAGUGGCUUUGUAUAUUUCAGCCUCAGCAGUUUAUCGUGUAUAUUGAAAAUAAUAAACAUAAGACCAAGAAAGUUUAAAUUUUUAAUUAAAUGAAUGCACAGAAACAGAUUCAAUCAUCAACUAGUUUUUUGAAAACUGUUAAGUAUAUACAAUACCACAAACUGUGCAAUGAUAUAAUUUAGGAACACUUUCAAAAAAGGUGCCACCCUUUCCAGAGCUUCUGUGAACUUCUGGACACUGGUUUUAUCUUGACUUUCAUAGUUACUUUAAAUUAUAGACUUAAACUAAAAGAGCAACCUAUUAAUAAAAUACCAUUCUAUUUCAGCACAAAAAUUGGGCCAUAGUAAUAGUAGGGCUCUGAUUU